CCUGAAAGAGAACAAACUCGUGUUGUUUGAAGCUACCAGGGUCACGGUGAUUUGUUACAGCAGUAAGAGGAAGUGAGAACCUGGAGAAGGAUAAACCUCUGGGGAUCAGAGCUCUCCCAGUUGGUGGAAGGAGUUUCCAAACCUCUUCCCCGUGAAGCUACCUUCCACGAAAGGGCUGUUGUUUGUGUUGAGAAAUGACUUUGCCCAUCGGAGGAACAGCUCCGGUUCUGCAGGCUCCGACAGCGUGGAGCGGGGAGCCUGCGCGGCUGCAAAUGUCAGAAACUGAAUUACAGGCGGUGGCGCAGCGCCAGCUCCGAGAUGGGUGGGGUCCAGCUGCAGAGCCUCCCAGCUGUGACUCUGGCCAAGUCGGCCCCUUCUCUGCUGGCCCCUUCUCUGCAAGCGUCAGUGUCCUUAUUUGUAUAAUGAAGUUAAUUUCCACCUGUCAGAAUUGCAGAUAACGUUAAUGAAACGGCUAAGAACCUGGUACAGAGCAAGAGUUGGGUAAAUGUCAGUUCUCCCGUUUCCCCUUCUGCCUUGCUUCCUCGUGCCUGCGUUUGGAGUCGGGCAUUUUUCGGUAACAGACACAAAGGCAAAAGUGCAUGGGGUGAAGAAGGGCUCUGCCCACUCUUAAGAGUCACUCAGGUCCACCCUGUUCAGAGAGUCCACCCAGAUGUGUUCUUUAACUCGAGAAUUUAUGAAGAUGAAGAGAGGAGUUGAUAAAGAUGGCUGAGCCUACAUGUGUUAAUGAGAACAAUAUUCAGAGGCUGCUUUGUGGUGACCCCUACUGGAUUCUGGCGUCAAACUCCUGUUUGUCCUCACUUGGGACCGGGACACUGCCGCUGUGUGGCACAGGCAAAUUCCAGGGAUCCUCUUGUGACUUAAGUCGGAUUUUCCCUCAUUGCCUUUGCAGAAAUACUCACUUCCUGCUUCAGAGCUGAUGAUGCUGACUCCUUAGCUUUGUUUACACAAUUGCUGAAGGUGUUGUUUUUAAGUCCUGCAUCUUUAUUGAAUUGAUAUCUGCAAAAGCCUUUGAUUCCCUUGCCAGUGCUCUGUGAACUGGAUGUCGCUUCUCAGUCUGGACGGAUAUGGGCCCCUUCUGGCCGAACCAUGACACAUCCUGAGACACAGUGUUUAAAUAAUUCCCAGGAAGCGGCAGCUCAUUGGCACCGGUGUUAAUCACUUCAUAUCCAGUUUUCUGUGGUUUCAUCAUAGUCUGACUUCGGACUCAAGGUUAAGAAAGGAUGAAACAGUUUUCAACCUACGAACCCUGUACUUGGACAUUGUGAACUCCUUAGCUACAGAUGUUAUCUAAAUAAGAUAUGGGGGAAUUAAAUGAUGAUUUGAUCAUGGUUGGAGGGACCACAGGAAGUAGUCAGAAAAGAGAAGAGCAGCCGAUCAGAAGAAAGCAAAGACUCAGUGGCGCUUACUCUGGACCAGGCACUGUCCUCAGUGCUGUGCACUCGUGGCUUGUUCAUCCUUGGGACAACCCCACAAAUGAAGUACCAUUGUGAUGCCAGUUUACAGAUGAAGAAAGUAAGGCACAAGAAGUGAAAUAAACUGUCCAAGACUAUUCAAGACAGAACUUAAGUCAAUGUUCUUAACCACCCACACUAUGAAAGCAGUUUUACAGAAUGCUAAAUGUGAGUCAGAAAUAGAAAAAUCGGUGCCCAGUCCUCCCUAUUCCAUAUUAAGGCACCAGAGCAAAUUUCCUGGCUUUGAACUUGCAACAUGGCCCCUGUCACUGCCACUGACACUGGGAGAUUCCUAUCACUGCUACAGAGACUUAAGUAAAGGAAUGCAAUCACCAAGAGAGAAUAGCUCCAUGAGGAGAGAAAGGGCCUGGGAGGGGAGAUGUGGUUAAAAGACACAGCACAAUGUGAAAGAAACAAAAAGCUGGGAUUCAGGGGGAU
Camelus dromedarius (Arabian camel) is the source of this 1910-nucleotide long non-coding RNA. RefSeq lists it as uncharacterized. The record is from RefSeq and is a predicted model, not a curated record. The transcript is spliced from 3 exons. NCBI's taxonomy places the organism in Eukaryota, Metazoa, Chordata, Mammalia, Artiodactyla, Camelidae.